UGACGGUACCCAAAGAAUAAGCACCGGCUAACUUCGCGCCAGCACCCCGCGGUAAUACGAAGGGUGCAAGCGUUACUCGGAAUUACUGGGCGUAAAGCGUGCGUAGGUGGUUGUUUAAGUCUGUUGUGAAAGCCCUGGGCUCAACCUGGGAAUUGCAGUGGAUACUGGGCGACUAGAGUGUGGUAGAGGGUAGUGGAAUUCCCGGUGUAGCAGUGAAAUGCGUAGAGAUCGGGAGGAACAUCCAUGGCGAAGGCAGCUACCUGGACCAACACUGACACUGAGGCACGAAAGCGUGGGGAGCAAACAGGAUUAGAUACCCUGGUAGUCCACGCCCUAAACGAUGCGAACUGGAUGU
RNAcentral lists this ribosomal RNA (355 nucleotides) under Stenotrophomonas sp. RNAcentral's name for it is "bacterial SSU rRNA". It matches the Rfam family "Bacterial small subunit ribosomal RNA", at positions 470 to 823 of the family's 1533-position model. The record is from RNAcentral. Lineage: Bacteria; Pseudomonadati; Pseudomonadota; Gammaproteobacteria; Lysobacterales; Lysobacteraceae.